AUACGUAGGGGGCAAGCGUUGUCCGGAAUUAUUGGGCGUAAAGCGCGCGCAGGCGGUUCUUUAAGUCUUGUGUAUAAGGCUAGGGCUUAACCUUAGUCCGCAUGGGAAACUGGGGACUGGAGUGCAGGAGAGGAAAGUGGAAUUCCACGUGUAGCGGUGAAAUGCGUAGAGAUGUGGAGGAACACCAGCGGCGAAGGCGACUUUCUGGCCUGUAACUGACGCUGAGGCGCGAAAGCGUGGGGAGCAAACAGGAUUAGAUACCCUGGUAGUCCACGCCGUAAACGAUGAGUGCUAGGUGUCGGGGUUGUCAUGACCUCGGUGCCGAAGUUAACACAGUAAGCACUCCGCCUGGGGAGUACGCUCGCAAGAGUGAA
This 374-nucleotide ribosomal RNA is filed under the name uncultured bacterium. RNAcentral describes it as "bacterial SSU rRNA". It matches the Rfam family "Bacterial small subunit ribosomal RNA", at positions 523 to 898 of the family's 1533-position model. The record is from RNAcentral.